This 338-nucleotide unclassified non-coding RNA is filed under the name soil metagenome. RNAcentral's name for it is "partial contains 5.8S ribosomal RNA, internal transcribed spacer 2, and large subunit ribosomal RNA". The stretch from base 1 to 121 matches the Rfam family "5.8S ribosomal RNA", at positions 35 to 154 of the family's 154-position model. The record is from RNAcentral.
GAUGAAGAACGUAGCGAAAUGCGAUAAGUAAUGCGAAUUGCAGAAUUUCCGUGAAUCAUCGAAUCUUUGAACGCACAUUGCGCCCCUUGGUAUUCCAUGGGGCAUGCCUGUUCGAGCGUCAUCUACACCCUCAAGCACUGCUUGGUGAUGGGCGUCUGUCCCGCCUCUGCGCGCGGACUCGCCCCAAAGGUAUUGGCAGCGGUCCUGUCCGCCUCUCGCGCAGCACAGAUGCGCUUCUCGAGGCUUCGGGGCCCGCGUCCACGAAGCUCACUUACCACGUUUGACCUCGGAUCAGGUAGGGAUACCCGCUGAACUUAAGCAUAUCAAUAAGCGGAGGA